GUUUUUAUUUUGCCUUAACAGAUCCCAAGACCUAAACAAUCUCACCAAAGUGAAUCAUAUGUCUAAAAUAGCUUAGGAAGGACGGAUAUCAGGAUGUGGAGGAUCUCAUUGAAGUGAAUCGUAUAUCAAACCAGGAAGGCAGAUCCUCUGACCUGGACAGUUUCAUUGAAAUCAAAGAUAAAAGCAAUCAAAGGGCUAUUAUUGGCAAAGAAUUGUGUACCUAUUGCCAGAAGCCAUUGGGCACAGAAACCAAAAUGAUUCUCGAAGCUCUAAAUAUUUGCUGUCAUGCAACUUGCUUCAAGUGUGAAAUCUGCAAAGCAACUUUAGAAAACCUGGAGGCAGGAGAUAGUAUCUGGAUUUACAAGAACGUAGUGCACUGUUCACCAUGUUAUUCUCAUGUUAAAGCCACGUGGACUUACUAAUCGUUAAUGAAUUCUGAUCAAACGUGUGCUCAGAUAUUCCAGCUAUCUUUAUUUGUAUCUGGAAGUUGUAUUUUUUUAAGAAUAAGAUAUUUCAAAAAUCCACAUUCGGCACUUGAGCAUAAAAUAAGACCAUUUCUAAAUGAAAGAUAACGUAUGUACUUAGAAUCUUUCUAGAGGUUUUCAUUGUUGGUGAGAAAAAAUGUUUACAACUGUCGCAUUAUAUUGAAUAAAGGACGCAAAGAGUUGUACUGUAAAUACAGCAUAGGAAGGUAGCUAUCUUUGCUUAACAUAUUCUGUUUUUUGUUCAUACAUUGGUAAUUCACAUAUGGGUGUUCAUCAUAUAGAUAGAAAUGUCUUCUUUAGCUGCAGCAGUUCUUAAGAGAGAGAAAUUUUGCAACUUUGGUUGGGACUGUUGAGUUUGAGAGGAACCAAAUCACCAUGAAAGCUGCCAGAAAACAAGCAAGAUGAAAUCAAGUGGAGUCCAUGUGUUUAUGAACCAUUGUUUUCCUAUUAUUAAUGAACCCUAAAUGUUGAGUCUGCUUCACUUCACUUCCAUUCAUACUGUAACUCUGGGGAAGAGAACACUGGGGGUUAAUCUAUUCUCCAAAGCACCUGAAAGCAGGACAAGAAGCAAUGGAUGGAAACUAAUCAAGGAGAGAAUCAACCUAGAACUAAGGAGACAUUUCCUGACAGAACAAUUAAUCAGUGGGACAAGUUGCCUACAGAGGUUGUGGGUACUCCAACCAACACUAGAGAUUUUUAAGAACAGAUUGGUCAGCCAUUUUGUCUGAAAUGGUAUAAGGUUUCCUGCUUGAACGGGGGGGGGGGGGGAGUUGGACUAGAAGAUCUCAAAGGUCCCUUCCAACUCUGUUAUUCUGUUACUGCUUGCAAGAAAAUCCAUCUUCAGUCUGCUCAUUUUUACACAUUUUAUUCAAUUUCCUUUAUAGAAAUUGUCCCUGUCUAAAAUUAAGUCAAUGUAGCAAUGUCACCUACAAAGAAAUAUCAAAAGGCCAAAAUUGUAAGUGCAACUGUGGAUCCAGGUUCUGCCUUUUUAUAUAUUUGCUAUUGGUUCAUGUACAAAGGUGUAGGGUUUUGGUCUAAACCACCUAUUUUUUAGUCGCUUUAGUCACACUAUUGAAGAUGGUGCUGUGAAUAUGGUCUUCUACUCUCAUUUUAGUUAUAUUAUGCUAAUUUGUAAAGGGCAAGUCAGGUUGUUGGCAUCCUGAUGCAAUCAUUUAAAGACACAGAUAUGGGAAAAGAAGUGCAUCCUCAUAUGAUCUGCAGCCAAACAUCAACUCUUAUGAUUUAAAAGUACUUGCCCUGUGGUAUCAAUAAUAAAUAUUCAAAUAAUCCAAAAUAAAUCUGAACUAUUAAUUGAUAUAAUUUAAGGCAUUUAUUGUAGCACAUAUUACAGAAUCAUAUUAUACACUGUGCAUAUUUUAAUAUAAAUAUGGAUACAUGUUUUUCUUUUCUCUUUUGAACCAGCGUGAGCAGUAGUGUAAAGAAUUUACCUUGAUAUGGAGAAAUAUUUUCAAAAAUUAAAGUGAAAGAAAAAAAUAAAAUA
Molecule: non-coding RNA, 1986 nt
Organism: Pseudonaja textilis
Lineage: Eukaryota; Metazoa; Chordata; Lepidosauria; Squamata; Elapidae
Source: RefSeq, a predicted model, not a curated record